AGGGUUUGAUCCUGGCUCAGAACGAACGCUGGCGGCGUGGCUAAGACAUGCAAGUCGAACGGACUUGUUAAUUUAUUAGCGAGUUAGUGGCGAAAGGGUGAGUAAUGGAUAGGUAACGUACCCCGAGCUCUGGGAUAGCCAUCCGAAAGGGUGGGUAAUACCGGAUAACAUCACAGGUCGAUGGGCUUGUGAUCAAAGAUUCAUCGGCGCGGGAGCGGCCUAUCUCCUAUCAGCUAGUUGGUGAGGUAACGGCCCACCAAGGCGAAGACGGGUAGCGGGACUGAGAGGUUGGCCCGCCACAUCGGAACUGAGACACUGUCCGGACCCCCACGGGAGGCUGCAGUAACGAAUCUUGGGCAAUGGGCGAAAGCCUGACCCAGCGACGCCGCGUGCGGGAGGAAGUCCUUCGGGAUGUAAACCGCUGUCAGGGACGUGAAAGUCCACUUCGGUGGAUUGAUCUAACCCAGAGGAAGUCACGGCUAACUCUGUGCCAGCAGCCGCGGUAAGACAGAGGUGGCAAGCGUUGUUCGGUAUCACUGGGCUUAAAGCGUGUGUAGGCGGGAGCGUAAGCAUUUUGUGAAAUCCCUCGGCUCAACCGGGGCAUUGCUUGAUGUACUGCGUUCCUUGAGGCAAGUAGGGGUGCGAGGAACUCUUGGUGGAGCGGUGGAAUGCGUAGAUAUCAAGAGGAACGCCGAUGGUGAAGACAUCGCACUAGGCUUGUCCUGACGCUGAGACACGAAAGCGUGGAGCGAACGGGAUUAGAUACCCCGGUAGUCCACGCCGUAAACGAUGCCUACUAGAUUGUGGCGGUUCUGACGCCGGCACAGUCGAAGCCAAAGUGUUAAGUAGGCCGCCUGGGGAGUACGGUCGCAAGGCUAAAACUCAAAGGAAUUGACGGGGGCUCACACAAGCGGUGGAGCAUGUGGAUUAAUUCGAAGCAACGCGCAGAACCUUACCUGGGUUUGACAUGCUUGGAUGCCUUUCCGGAAACGGAGUAGGCUACCCUUCGGGGUGAAACUUGCACAGGUGCUGCAUGGCUGUCGUCAGCUCGUGUCGUGAGAUGUCGGGUUAAGUCCCUUAACGAGCGAAACCCUUCCGUUAGUUGCCGGCGGGUCAUGCCGGGGACUCUAACGGGACUGCCGGUGUUAAACCGGAGGAAGGUGGGGAUGACGUCAAGUCAUCAUGGCCUUUAUGCCCAGGUCCUCACACGUGCUACAAUGACCGGUACAAAGCGACGCGAGACCGCAAGGUGGAGCCAAUCGAAAAAAACCGGCCCCAGUUCGGAUUGUAGGCUGGCAACUCGCCUGCAUGAAGUUGGAAUCGCUAGUAAUCGCGGAUCAGCUAUGCCGCGGUGAAUGUGUUCCUGAGCCUUGUACACACCGCCCGUCAAGUGAUGGGAGUUGGAAGUACCCGAAGUCGGGUUGCUAACCCCGCAAGGGGAGGCGCCUGCCGACGGUAAGUCCGACGACUGGCACUAAGUCGAACAAGGUA
This 1491-nucleotide ribosomal RNA is filed under the name metagenome. RNAcentral describes it as "bacterial SSU rRNA". It matches the Rfam family "Bacterial small subunit ribosomal RNA". The record is from RNAcentral.